Pezoporus occidentalis (night parrot) is the source of this 595-nucleotide long non-coding RNA. RefSeq lists it as uncharacterized. The transcript has 3 exons. Lineage: Eukaryota; Metazoa; Chordata; Aves; Psittaciformes; Psittacidae. The record is from RefSeq and is a predicted model, not a curated record.
AGAGGGUGCUUGCAAGUCCUGUGCUGUAGGUGCUCGAGCUGUUUUUUCCUCUACAGUGCUUCAGCAUCCCCUCCUGCUGUUUGCUACCCACAGCUUGGCCUGCAGCAGCAAAGCUGAUCUCCACUGAGGACCACAUCAGGAGAGCUUGGAGCAUUGCUUGCACUUGUUGGCUGAUGGAGGUCCAGCCAAGCGUGCCCUCGCCGGGCCGGGUGCUGGCAGCCACUGCGGUCCUGAGUGUCAGCAGAAACGGCCGUGCUGGUGGGGAACGGAGCAGGCUGACGGCAGCCCGAUGGACACGAUAACUCCGGAGCAGGGGAUGCUCCGAGCAGGAGGCAACAUGAAAAUCCAGUCUGGAGCUCCAGCCUUGCGGGAAGGCAGACGGCUCCUCUGAUGUGCAGCCAAGCUCCCCAGGCAGGGAGGGCACGGGGAAGCAGCAGGAGUGCUCACUGAUGCCUGAGCUCCUCCAGCACGCAGACGUUUCACAUGCGAAAUAUCAAAGCGUUCCCAGGAACAAAUGUACUUCCUGCAGCUCCUCAGAUCUGCCUCCGUGCCAGGGACGCCAGGAAGAGCAGCAUUCCCGUCCCGGGAUGUUGUA